Salvia miltiorrhiza (redroot sage) is the source of this 1222-nucleotide long non-coding RNA. RefSeq lists it as uncharacterized. The transcript has 2 exons. NCBI's taxonomy places the organism in Eukaryota, Viridiplantae, Streptophyta, Magnoliopsida, Lamiales, Lamiaceae. The record is from RefSeq and is a predicted model, not a curated record.
CCGAGAGGAUGAGAGGGGGAGGGGAGACGCCCGGCGAGGCGGCACGCCGGAGGCGGCGCCGCACUCGACCGAGCAGAGAAACGAGAGGGGCGAGAGAGCCGAGAGAGGUAGAGAGAGCAAAAUGGCUGAUGUUGUGUGUGUUGUGUGUACAUGUAUUUAGGAUUAGGGUUGGGCUAGGUUUUGGGCUCAAGCCCUUCUAUCUUGGUGUGGGCCGAAAAUUUUAGAUAAAAGUGGGCCGAUGUUAUUUUUUUUAUGCUGCUGGGCCUUUUUGCUUUUAAAAAAAUUUGAUGGGUUUAUUUAAUAGGUUUGGGCCCAAUUUUAAUUAAGUUUUGAGCUGUUAUUUAAUUAUAGGCCUACGAAUUUUGGCCUUAAUUCUUAAAAAAAAAAAAGUGUUUCAAUUUUCAUUAAAUUAUUUAGUGGGUUUAAAUCUCUUGAUUAAAAUGUUAAUAUUGAAGAUUGGGACUAUUUAUUUUAAAUGAAGCCGGUUCUUUUAUUUAAAUUUAUUGAUGGACCUUAAAAGAAGUAUUUUGGGAUUAAGCCCUCAUUUAUUAUAAUAUUUCAAGGCUUUAUGAGUAUGGGUUUUAAAUGGUUAAAAUGUUUUUAUUUCACCUCAAUGGGAUUUAAAAUGACUUAUUUAAAGUAUAUAUAAACGAAUAAUGGUGCAUGAUUUUAUUGCUUAUGUGAGCAUGUGAUUUUUUUUAAAAUGAUAUUAAGUUAAGGAUAUUGAUUUCUUUUAUCUUGUUUGUUAUGUGAUUAGACGAGGUAUGUUGGUUUUUGACUGUCUUUAAUGGAACGAAUUAUGGAUGCUAGAACCCUAAAACUAAAAGAUACCCUAGGCUCGUAAAAUUAGACUUUGUCUUAUGACAAUUUCUUCACGAACUUAUCGACUCUUCAUCAAUGAAGGUCCGGGCGACAAAAAGUGAAGCCGAAGAAGAAACGACUCCACGCCAGCUUUAAGAACGUUUAAGGUUGAGCAGGCGAUGGAAUGGAUUGGUGUUGAGCGGAUUCUCUUUUAAUGAUUAAGUAAUGAAACCUUGAGUAUGUAUCUUCAUAUGCAUAACUCACACGUAUUUCCGCUGCAACCCUCUGAUUUUUAUUAUCGCUUCUAUAAGAACUUAAUACUAUUUUAUUUCGGAUGAUGUCACAUGGGUCUAGUAUUUUAAUAUGAACGUUUGUAAUUACCCAAGCAGUUAUAUAUAUAUAUAUAUUGUAAUUGCUUUAA